ACUUAAAUUGAAGAGUUUGAUCAUGGCUCAGAUUGAACGCUGGCGGCAGGCCUAACACAUGCAAGUCGAGCGGUAGCACAGAGAGCUUGCUCUCGGGUGACGAGCGGCGGACGGGUGAGUAAUGUCUGGGAAACUGCCUGAUGGAGGGGGAUAACUACUGGAAACGGUAGCUAAUACCGCAUAACGUCGCAAGACCAAAGUGGGGGACCUUCGGGCCUCAUGCCAUCAGAUGUGCCCAGAUGGGAUUAGCUAGUAGGUGGGGUAACGGCUCACCUAGGCGACGAUCCCUAGCUGGUCUGAGAGGAUGACCAGCCACACUGGAACUGAGACACGGUCCAGACUCCUACGGGAGGCAGCAGUGGGGAAUAUUGCACAAUGGGCGCAAGCCUGAUGCAGCCAUGCCGCGUGUGUGAAGAAGGCCUUCGGGUUGUAAAGCACUUUCAGCGGGGAGGAAGGCGUUAAGGUUAAUAACCUUGGCGAUUGACGUUACCCGCAGAAGAAGCACCGGCUAACUCCGUGCCAGCAGCCGCGGUAAUUCGGAGGGUGCAUGCGUUAAUCGGAAUUACUGGGCGUAAAGCGCACGCAGGCGGUCUGUCAAGUCGGAUGUGAAAUCCCCGGGCUCAACCUGGGAACUGCAUUCGAAACUGGCAGGCUAGAGUCUUGUAGAGGGGGGUAGAAUUCCAGGUGUAGCGGUGAAAUGCGUAGAGAUCUGGAGGAAUACCGGUGGCGAAGGCGGCCCCCUGGACAAAGACUGACGCUCAGGUGCGAAAGCGUGGGGAGCAAACAGGAUUAGAUACCCUGGUAGUCCACGCCGUAAACGAUGUCGAUUUGGAGGUUGUGCCCUUGAGGCGUGGCUUCCGGAGCUAACGCGUUAAAUCGACCGCCUGGGGAGUACGGCCGCAAGGUUAAAACUCAAAUGAAUUGACGGGGGCCCGCACAAGCGGUGGAGCAUGUGGUUUAAUUCGAUGCAACGCGAAGAACCUUACCUGGUCUUGACAUCCACAGAACUUUCCAGAGAUGGAUUGGUGCCUUCGGGAACUGUGAGACAGGUGCUGCAUGGCUGUCGUCAGCUCGUGUUGUGAAAUGUUGGGUUAAGUCCCGCAACGAGCGCAACCCUUAUCCUUUGUUGCCAGCGGUUCGGCCGGGAACUCAAAGGAGACUGCCAGUGAUAAACUGGAGGAAGGUGGGGAUGACGUCAAGUCAUCAUGGCCCUUACGACCAGGGCUACACACGUGCUACAAUGGCAUAUACAAAGAGAAGCGACCUCGCGAGAGCAAGCGGACCUCAUAAAGUAUGUCGUAGUCCGGAUUGGAGUCUGCAACUCGACUCCAUGAAGUCGGAAUCGCUAGUAAUCGUAGAUCAGAAUGCUACGGUGAAUACGUUCCCGGGCCUUGUACACACCGCCCGUCACACCAUGGGAGUGGGUUGCAAAAGAAGUAGGUAGCUUAACCUUCGGGAGGGCGCUUACCACUUUGUGAUUCAUGACUGGGGUGAAGUCGUAACAAGGUAACCGUAGGGGAACCUGCGGUUGGAUCACCUCCUUACCUUAAAGAA
Molecule: ribosomal RNA, 1554 nt
Filed under: Klebsiella pneumoniae
Lineage: Bacteria; Pseudomonadati; Pseudomonadota; Gammaproteobacteria; Enterobacterales; Enterobacteriaceae
Description: bacterial SSU rRNA
Rfam family: Bacterial small subunit ribosomal RNA
Source: RNAcentral